Octopus bimaculoides (California two-spot octopus) is the source of this 204-nucleotide long non-coding RNA. The record is from RefSeq and is a predicted model, not a curated record. NCBI's taxonomy places the organism in Eukaryota, Metazoa, Mollusca, Cephalopoda, Octopoda, Octopodidae.
AGAUCCAUCCUUUUCGAAAUCACCGUGGACCUCACAGGCGGCACCAGUCUCCCAAGGAUAUUUACCCGGCACUUUGCAAACUCUGUCCAAGACUGGUCUUGAAGGGGCUCAUUCACAGUGGCGCUCUCAGGAUCCUUACAAAUUCUUCCGGCAAAUCUCGAAUCGACUUUGUAACACAGGUAAGCGAACUGCUGCUCUACCACC